This 186-nucleotide ribosomal RNA is filed under the name uncultured bacterium. RNAcentral's name for it is "partial 16S ribosomal RNA". It matches the Rfam family "Bacterial small subunit ribosomal RNA", at positions 588 to 773 of the family's 1533-position model. The record is from RNAcentral.
UUUGUUGUGCAAGCCUUCGGCUUGACUGGAGCAGUGCAUUGGAAACUGGGAGACUUGAGUGCAGAAGAGGAGAGUGGAACUCCAUGUGGAGCGGUGAAAUGCGUAGAUAUAUGGAAGAACACCAGUGGCGAAAGCGGCUCUCUGGUCUGUAACUGACGCUGAGGUUCGAAAGCGUGGGUAGCAAAC